GCUAGAUUGAUGGCGAGUGGCGAACGGGUGAGUAAUACAUCGGAACGUGCCCUGUAGUGGGGGAUAACUAGUCGAAAGAUUAGCUAAUACCGCAUACGACCUGAGGGUGAAAGUGGGGGACCGCAAGGCCUCAUGCUAUAGGAGCGGCCGAUGUCUGAUUAGCUAGUUGGUGGGGUAAAGGCCCACCAAGGCGACGAUCAGUAGCUGGUCUGAGAGGACGAUCAGCCACACUGGGACUGAGACACGGCCCAGACUCCUACGGGAGGCAGCAGUGGGGAAUUUUGGACAAUGGGCGAAAGCCUGAUCCAGCAAUGCCGCGUGUGUGAAGAAGGCCUUCGGGUUGUAAAGCACUUUUGUCCGGAAAGAAAUGGCUCUGGUUAAUACCUGGGGCCGAUGACGGUACCGGAAGAAUAAGGACCGGCUAACUACGUGCCAGCAGCCGCGGUAAUACGUAGGGUCCAAGCGUUAAUCGGAAUUACUGGGCGUAAAGCGUGCGCAGGCGGUUGUGCAAGACCGAUGUGAAAUCCCCGAGCUUAACUUGGGAAUUGCAUUGGUGACUGCACGGCUAGAGUGUGUCAGAGGGGGGUAGAAUUCCACGUGUAGCAGUGAAAUGCGUAGAGAUGUGGAGGAAUACCGAUGGCGAAGGCAGCCCCCUGGGAUAACACUGACGCUCAUGCACGAAAGCGUGGGGAGCAAACAGGAUUAGAUACCCUGGUAGUCCACGCCCUAAACGAUGUCAACUAGUUGUUGGGGAUUCAUUUCCUUAGUAACGUAGCUAACGCGUGAAGUUGACCGCCUGGGGAGUACGGUCGCAAGAUUAAAACUCAAAGGAAUUGACGGGGACCCGCACAAGCGGUGGAUGAUGUGGAUUAAUUCGAUGCAACGCGAAAAACCUUACCU
RNAcentral lists this ribosomal RNA (900 nucleotides) under uncultured bacterium. Its description in RNAcentral is "bacterial SSU rRNA". It matches the Rfam family "Bacterial small subunit ribosomal RNA", at positions 79 to 976 of the family's 1533-position model. The record is from RNAcentral.